Molecule: non-coding RNA, 196 nt
Organism: Musa acuminata subsp. malaccensis (wild Malaysian banana)
Lineage: Eukaryota; Viridiplantae; Streptophyta; Magnoliopsida; Zingiberales; Musaceae
Source: Rfam
CUGGUAUGAUGCAAAAUUAGCCAAAUCAGACAUUUAUGUGCUCCUAUAGGCUUUCUCUCUAAGCUUUGCAUAUAAGUGGUGCUUUUGGUGAAAAUUCCUGUCUUGGGAAUUUUUGCUAAGCAUACAAGGAGAGAAACCUUUUGUCGAAGCACAUAUCUCUGAUGAUAACAGCGAGAUUGGUUACCUGCUGACCGGA